AACGAUGAAGCCCCUUCGGGGGUGCAUGAAGUGGCGAAAGGGCGAGGACCACGUUCCUACGUACCCCAAGGUCAGGGAUAGCCCCGGGAAACUGGGUGUAAUACCUGAUGAUCUAUCCGCAGCAAAGACUUCGGUCGCCUUGGGAGCGGGGAACGCCCUAUCAGGUAGUUGGUGAGGUAACGGCUCACCAAGCCUAAGACGGGUAGCGGGUGUGAGAGCAUGGCCCGCCGCAUCGGGACUGAGACACUGCCCGGACUCCUACGGGAGGCUGCAGUAACGAAUAUUCCGCAAUGCGCGAAAGCGUGACGGAGCAAUGCCGCGUGUGGGAUGAAGCUCUUCGGAGUGUAAACCACUGUCAGAGUUUAGGGACACAAUGACCAGACUCAAAGGAAGGGCCGGCUAACUUCGUGCCAGCAGCCGCGGUAAUACGAAGGGCCCAAGCGUUAAUCGGAAUCACUGGGCUUAAAGAGUACGUAGGCGGACUGGAAGGUGCUUUGUGAAAUCCCUCGGCUCAACCGAGGAACUGCAGGGCAAACCAUCAGUCUAGAGACAGGUAGGGGUCGUCGGAACGCUAGGUGGAGUGGUGAUAUGCGUUGAUAUCUAGCGGAACGCCGAAGGAGAAGUCAGGCGACUGGGCCUGUUCUGACGCUGAGGUACGAAAGCGUGGGGAGCGAACGGGAUUAGAUACCCCGGUAGUCCACGCCGUAAACGAUGCGCACUA
Molecule: ribosomal RNA, 721 nt
Filed under: uncultured bacterium
Lineage: Bacteria
Description: bacterial SSU rRNA
Rfam family: Bacterial small subunit ribosomal RNA
Source: RNAcentral